UGGUUGCAGUAGCGAUAGAGAGGGAGCUAGAAAUCCAUGUCAGCGAAGGUGGCAUUGGAGUCAACCAUCUAGGUCCAUUUUGACUUGGCCAAUAAUAUCACAACUUAAAAAAUAAUUUUUAUAUAUUUAUUUAUACAAUAAUAUUUUGGAGAAUCUACUAAAUUUAAAUUUCUAAUUAUGUGGUUUCAAAUUUUAAAUUUAAAAAAAUUAAAGAUCAACUACAGCGAUGCUCC
RNAcentral lists this long non-coding RNA (233 nucleotides) under Elaeis guineensis (African oil palm). RNAcentral describes it as "long non-coding RNA (EGUI_LNC030359)". The record is from RNAcentral. Lineage: Eukaryota; Viridiplantae; Streptophyta; Magnoliopsida; Arecales; Arecaceae.